GAUGAACGCUGGCGGCGUGCUUAACACAUGCAAGUCGAACGGGAUCCAUCAAGCUUGCUUGGUGGUGAGAGUGGCGAACGGGUGAGUAAUGCGUGACCGACCUGCCCCAUACACCGGAAUAGCUCCUGGAAACGGGUGGUAAUGCCGGAUGCUCCGACUCCUCGCAUGGGGUGUCGGGAAAGAUUAUAUCGGUAUGGGAUGGGGUCGCGUCCUAUCAGGUAGUCGGCGGGGUAACGGCCCACCGAGCCUACGACGGGUAGCCGGCCUGAGAGGGCGACCGGCCACAUUGGGACUGAGAUACGGCCCAGACUCCUACGGGAGGCAGCAGUGGGGAAUAUUGCACAAUGGGCGCAAGCCUGAUGCAGCGACGCCGCGUGCGGGAUGACGGCCUUCGGGUUGUAAACCGCUUUUGAUCGGGAGCAAGCCUUCGGGUGAGUUAC
Molecule: ribosomal RNA, 440 nt
Filed under: uncultured bacterium
Lineage: Bacteria
Description: bacterial SSU rRNA
Rfam family: Bacterial small subunit ribosomal RNA
Source: RNAcentral